This 516-nucleotide ribosomal RNA is filed under the name uncultured bacterium. RNAcentral describes it as "bacterial SSU rRNA". It matches the Rfam family "Bacterial small subunit ribosomal RNA", at positions 29 to 518 of the family's 1533-position model. The record is from RNAcentral.
ACGAACGCUGGCGGCGUGCCUAAUACAUGCAAGUCGAACGGUCUUUCUAUGGAAGCUUGCUUCCACUGAGAAGAUAGUGGCGAACGGGUGAGUAACACGUGGGUAACCUGCCCAUAAGAGGGGGAUAACAUCCGGAAACGGGUGCUAAUACCGCAUAGUUUUCUUGAUCGCAUGAUUGAGAAAGGAAAGAUGGCCUUUGUGCUGUCGCUUAUGGAUGGACCCGCGGCGUAUUAGUUAGUUGGUGAGGUAACGGCUCACCAAGACGAUGAUACGUAGCCGACCUGAGAGGGUGAUCGGCCACAUUGGGACUGAGACACGGCCCAAACUCCUACGGGAGGCAGCAGUAGGGAAUCUUCCGCAAUGGACGAAAGUCUGACGGAGCAACGCCGCGUGAGUGAAAGAAGGUUUUCGGAUCGUAAAACUCUGUUGUCAGAGAAGAACAAGUUGGAGAGUAACUGCUCCAGCCUUGACGGUAUCUGACCAGAAAGCCACGGCUAACUACGUGCCAGCCGCCGC